RNAcentral lists this long non-coding RNA (362 nucleotides) under Chrysemys picta bellii (western painted turtle). RNAcentral describes it as "lncRNA (ENSCPBG00000002053.1)". The record is from RNAcentral. Lineage: Eukaryota; Metazoa; Chordata; Testudines; Emydidae.
GGUGUUUGAACUCUGUUAUUCCCAUUUUGCAGAUCUGCAAACCGAGGCAGAAAUGAUCAAUGACUUGCCCAAGGUCACAGAAGGUCAGUAUCAAGAUAAGAAGUUGGAAGCAGGACUGCUAGCUGGAGACUUUGCAGACUGAUAAACACAAGCCUUUGAAGCAAAGUGAAAGAUUCGGGGCUGGAAUAGCUCCCCACACUUCACAGCAAGGAAUGCCCAGGAGCACCAUGAUCAUCUCUUCUGUGUCCCUGAAUAUCAUUUCCCUCAGCAACACAGGGCAGCAACAUCUGAAUGGUGUGUGUGAUGGCUUACUCCAUUAUCCUGCAAAGAGAGCCCAAUGAAAGGCAUUGGAGAGGUGAACA